UCAUGAAUCGGUCAGUGGUUGCGAAGUGAAAUCUGCAAUUUUCUUAAACUAUGAUUUUAGAGCAUUAGCAAUUUAUUGAAAACACUACAUUGUAAAUAUAAGAUCUCCAGAUGAUCCGGUGAUUCUGUGAGAUUAUGUUAAACAUCGCGUAGUUUUAAGAAAACAAGAGUAUUAAAUUGGGUACAAGAAUUACAGUAAUUUAUGGCAAUCAGGAUGAAGCGAACAGAUGGAUAUAUAUAAAGCUUAACAAUAAUUUUUGAUGCAUAAUCAAUUCCAUUGUGAUGGAUCCAGAUCCCGAGGCCAGUCAUUCAGAAGAUGCUACUUCAAUCACAGAUGUUCCUGACAUUUGUUCAGUGGAAGAGUAUAAUGACAUUGAGGUCAGCUUUGAUCUGUCAUCUUUCGCCUGAAUUUCGCAGCCCAUCAGCUGCCGAGCGGAAAAGUCGCUGUACAGGGGUCGUUCGUUCUGGGUUCCAUUCCAGGUGAAUGGACUGGCUACAUGGGUGUUUCCCUGGUUUUCCGCAUAUGUAACGUGGAUACGAAGCAAUUUACUUUGAAAAGUCCUCCGCGAUGGCAUCUGUUCCUUUAGGCAGAUGCUCCCUAAUGUGAUUUGACAUGAUCAAAUUAGUCAAACCGUAUUCCAGUUUUAUGUUAUCCGUGUUUCAUUAACUGCUCAUUAUGUAAAUAAGUUCAUUAAUUGGCUGAGUAAAAUACAC
Molecule: long non-coding RNA, 713 nt
Organism: Stegodyphus dumicola
Lineage: Eukaryota; Metazoa; Arthropoda; Arachnida; Araneae; Eresidae
Source: RefSeq, a predicted model, not a curated record